GAUGAACGCUAGCGAUAGGCUUAACACAUGCAAGUCGAGGGGCAGCACAAGGUAGCUUGCUAUCUGGGUGGCGACCGGCGCACGGGUGCGUAACGCGUAUGCAACUUGCCCUAUACAGGAGGAUAACCCGUCGAAAGACGGACUAAUACUGCGUAUGCUCACAACUUGGCAUCCAGUGGUGAGGAAAGAAAUUCGGUAUAGGAUAGGCAUGCGUCCCAUUAGCUUGUUGGUGAGGUAACGGCUCACCAAGGCAACGAUGGGUAGGGGAACUGAGAGGUUUAUCCCCCACACUGGUACUGAGACACGGACCAGACUCCUACGGGAGGCAGCAGUGAGGAAUAUUAGUCAAUGGGCGCGAGCCUGAACCAGCCAAGUCGCGUGAAGGAUGACUGUCUUAUGGAUUGUAAACUUCUUUUAUACGGGAAUAACAAGAGUCACGUGUGACUCCCUGCAUGUACCGUAUGAAUAAGCAUCGGCUAACUCCGUG
RNAcentral lists this ribosomal RNA (487 nucleotides) under uncultured bacterium. Its description in RNAcentral is "partial 16S ribosomal RNA". It matches the Rfam family "Bacterial small subunit ribosomal RNA", at positions 28 to 507 of the family's 1533-position model. The record is from RNAcentral.